GACGAACGCUGGCGGCGUGCUUAACACAUGCAAGUCGAACGGAAAGGCCCUGCUUUUGUGGGGUGCUCGAGUGGCGAACGGGUGAGUAACACGUGAGUAACCUGCCCUUGACUUUGGGAUAACUUCAGGAAACUGGGGCUAAUACCGGAUAGGAGCUCCUGCUGCAUGGUGGGGGUUGGAAAGUUUCGGCGGUUGGGGAUGGACUCGCGGCUUAUCAGCUUGUUGGUGGGGUAGUGGCUUACCAAGGCUUUGACGGGUAGCCGGCCUGAGAGGGUGACCGGCCACAUUGGGACUGAGAUACGGCCCAGACUCCUACGGGAGGCAGCAGUGGGGAAUAUUGCACAAUGGGCGGAAGCCUGAUGCAGCAACGCCGCGUGCGGGAUGACGGCCUUCGGGUUGUAAACCGCUUUCGCCUGUGACGAAGCGUGAGUGACGGUAAUGGGUAAAGAAGCACCGGCUAACUACGUGCCAGCAGCCGCGGUGAUACGUAGGGUGCGAGCGUUGUCCGGAUUUAUUGGGCGUAAAGGGCUCGUAGGUGGUUGAUCGCGUCGGAAGUGUAAUCUUGGGGCUUAACCCUGAGCGUGCUUUCGAUACGGGUUGACUUGAGGAAGGUAGGGGAGAAUGGAAUUCCUGGUGGAGCGGUGGAAUGCGCAGAUAUCAGGAGGAACACCAGUGGCGAAGGCGGUUCUCUGGGCCUUUCCUGACGCUGAGGAGCGAAAGCGUGGGGAGCGAACAGGCUUAGAUACCCUGGUAGUCCACGCUGUAAACGGUGGGUACUAGGUGUGGGGUCCAUUCCACGGGUUCCGUGCCGUAGCUAACGCUUUAAGUACCCCGCCUGGGGAGUACGGCCGCAAGGCUAAGACUCAAAGGAAUUGACGGGGCCCCGCACAAGCGGCGGAGCAUGCGGAUUAAUUCGAUGCAACGCGUAGAACCUUACCUGGGUUUGACAUGGAUCGGGAGUGCUCAGAGAUGGGUGUGCCUCUUUUGGGGUCGGUUCACAGGUGGUGCAUGGCUGUCGUCAGCUCGUGUCGUGAGAUGUUGGGUUAAGUCCCGCAACGAGCGCAACCCUUGUUCACUGUUGCCAGCACGUUAUGGUGGGGACUCAGUGGAGACCGCCGGGGUCAACUCGGAGGAAGGUGGGGAUGACGUCAAGUCAUCAUGCCCCUUAUGUCCAGGGCUUCACGCAUGCUACAAUGGCUGGUACAGAGAGUGGCGAGCCUGUGAGGGUGAGCGAAUCUCGGAAAGCCGGUCUCAGUUCGGAUUGGGGUCUGCAACUCGACCUCAUGAAGUCGGAGUCGCUAGUAAUCGCAGAUCAGCAACGCUGCGGUGAAUACGUUCCCGGG
Molecule: ribosomal RNA, 1343 nt
Filed under: uncultured bacterium
Lineage: Bacteria
Description: 16S ribosomal RNA
Rfam family: Bacterial small subunit ribosomal RNA
Source: RNAcentral